RNAcentral lists this ribosomal RNA (656 nucleotides) under uncultured Carnobacteriaceae bacterium. Its description in RNAcentral is "bacterial SSU rRNA". It matches the Rfam family "Bacterial small subunit ribosomal RNA", at positions 64 to 699 of the family's 1533-position model. The record is from RNAcentral. Lineage: Bacteria; Bacillati; Bacillota; Bacilli; Lactobacillales; Carnobacteriaceae.
UCUUUUCUAUGGAAGCUUGCUUCCACUGAGAAGAUAGUGGCGGACGGGUGAGUAACACGUGGGUAACCUGCCCAUAAGAGGGGGAUAACAUCCGGAAACGGGUGCUAAUACCGCAUAGUUUUCUUGAUCGCAUGAUCGAGAAAGGAAAGACGGCCUUUGUGCUGUCGCUUAUGGAUGGACCCGCGGCGUAUUAGUUAGUUGGUGAGGUAACGGCUCACCAAGACGAUGAUACGUAGCCGACCUGAGAGGGUGAUCGGCCACAUUGGGACUGAGACACGGCCCAAACUCCUACGGGAGGCAGCAGUAGGGAAUCUUCCGCAAUGGACGAAAGUCUGACGGAGCAACGCCGCGUGAGUGAAGAAGGUUUUCGGAUCGUAAAACUCUGUUGUCAGAGAAGAACAAGUCGGAGAGUAACUGCUCCGGCCUUGACGGUAUCUGACCAGAAAGCCACGGCUAACUACGUGCCAGCAGCCGCGGUAAUACGUAGGUGGCAAGCGUUGUCCGGAUUUAUUGGGCGUAAAGCGAGCGCAGGCGGUUCCUUAAGUCUGAUGUGAAAGCCCACGGCUCAACCGUGGAAGGUCAUUGGAAACUGGGGGACUUGAGUGCAGAAGAGGAGAGUGGAAUUCCAUGUGUAGCGGUGAAAUGCGUAGAUAUAU